RNAcentral lists this ribosomal RNA (766 nucleotides) under Salmonella enterica subsp. enterica serovar Kentucky. RNAcentral describes it as "partial 23S ribosomal RNA". It matches the Rfam family "Bacterial large subunit ribosomal RNA", at positions 566 to 1315 of the family's 2925-position model. Lineage: Bacteria; Pseudomonadati; Pseudomonadota; Gammaproteobacteria; Enterobacterales; Enterobacteriaceae. The record is from RNAcentral.
GACGCCCAACACACAAAACAAGCGGUGAGUGCUUUGGGGUGGGGUGACUGCGUACCUUUUGUAUAAUGGGUCAGCGACUUAUAUUCUGUAGCAAGGUUAACCGUAUAGGGGAGCCGAAGGGAAACCGAGUCUUAACUGGGCGUUAAGUUGCAGGGUAUAGACCCGAAACCCGGUGAUCUAGCCAUGGGCAGGUUGAAGGUUGGGUAACACUAACUGGAGGACCGAACCGACUAAUGUUGAAAAAUUAGCGGAUGACUUGUGGCUGGGGGUGAAAGGCCAAUCAAACCGGGAGAUAGCUGGUUCUCCCCGAAAGCUAUUUAGGUAGCGCCUCGUGAACUCAUCUUCGGGGGUAGAGCACUGUUUCGGCUAGGGGGUCAUCCCGACUUACCAACCCGAUGCAAACUGCGAAUACCGAAGAAUGUUAUCACGGGAGACACACGGCGGGUGCUAACGUCCGUCGUGAAGAGGGAAACAACCCAGACCGCCAGCUAAGGUCCCAAAGUCACAGUUAAGUGGGAAACGAUGUGGGAAGGCUCAGACAGCCAGGAUGUUGGCUUAGAAGCAGCCAUCAUUUAAAGAAAGCGUAAUAGCUCACUGGUCGAGUCGGCCUGCGCGGAAGAUGUAACGGGGCUAAACUGUGCACCGAAGCUGCGGCAGCGACGCUUAUGCGUUGUUGGGUAGGGGAGCGUUCUGUAAGCCUGCGAAGGUGUCCUGUGAGGGAUGCUGGAGGUAUCAGAAGUGCGAAUGCUGACAUAAGUAACGAUAA